CCAAGGGAUUGGCCGUUUAGAG
This 22-nucleotide non-coding RNA is filed under the name Arabidopsis thaliana (thale cress). The record is from RNAcentral. Lineage: Eukaryota; Viridiplantae; Streptophyta; Magnoliopsida; Brassicales; Brassicaceae.